GCUUAGAUAGUUUAAUAGGGAAUUUAGUGAAAUUCUAAUACGGUCCCGCCGCUGUAAGAGGGAUUGGCAUAACAAUUAACCACUGAAGAAAUUCGGGAAGGGGUUAUGCCGAGAUGAUCUUGAGUCAGAAGACCUGCCUAUUUUCAU
Molecule: non-coding RNA, 147 nt
Filed under: fish gut metagenome
Source: RNAcentral